Molecule: ribosomal RNA, 1544 nt
Filed under: Salmonella enterica subsp. enterica serovar Typhimurium str. 798
Lineage: Bacteria; Pseudomonadati; Pseudomonadota; Gammaproteobacteria; Enterobacterales; Enterobacteriaceae
Description: 16S ribosomal RNA
Rfam family: Bacterial small subunit ribosomal RNA
Source: RNAcentral
UUAAAUUGAAGAGUUUGAUCAUGGCUCAGAUUGAACGCUGGCGGCAGGCCUAACACAUGCAAGUCGAACGGUAACAGGAAGCAGCUUGCUGCUUCGCUGACGAGUGGCGGACGGGUGAGUAAUGUCUGGGAAACUGCCUGAUGGAGGGGGAUAACUACUGGAAACGGUGGCUAAUACCGCAUAACGUCGCAAGACCAAAGAGGGGGACCUUCGGGCCUCUUGCCAUCAGAUGUGCCCAGAUGGGAUUAGCUAGUUGGUGAGGUAACGGCUCACCAAGGCGACGAUCCCUAGCUGGUCUGAGAGGAUGACCAGCCACACUGGAACUGAGACACGGUCCAGACUCCUACGGGAGGCAGCAGUGGGGAAUAUUGCACAAUGGGCGCAAGCCUGAUGCAGCCAUGCCGCGUGUAUGAAGAAGGCCUUCGGGUUGUAAAGUACUUUCAGCGGGGAGGAAGGUGUUGUGGUUAAUAACCGCAGCAAUUGACGUUACCCGCAGAAGAAGCACCGGCUAACUCCGUGCCAGCAGCCGCGGUAAUACGGAGGGUGCAAGCGUUAAUCGGAAUUACUGGGCGUAAAGCGCACGCAGGCGGUCUGUCAAGUCGGAUGUGAAAUCCCCGGGCUCAACCUGGGAACUGCAUUCGAAACUGGCAGGCUUGAGUCUUGUAGAGGGGGGUAGAAUUCCAGGUGUAGCGGUGAAAUGCGUAGAGAUCUGGAGGAAUACCGGUGGCGAAGGCGGCCCCCUGGACAAAGACUGACGCUCAGGUGCGAAAGCGUGGGGAGCAAACAGGAUUAGAUACCCUGGUAGUCCACGCCGUAAACGAUGUCUACUUGGAGGUUGUGCCCUUGAGGCGUGGCUUCCGGAGCUAACGCGUUAAGUAGACCGCCUGGGGAGUACGGCCGCAAGGUUAAAACUCAAAUGAAUUGACGGGGGCCCGCACAAGCGGUGGAGCAUGUGGUUUAAUUCGAUGCAACGCGAAGAACCUUACCUGGUCUUGACAUCCACAGAACUUUCCAGAGAUGGAUUGGUGCCUUCGGGAACUGUGAGACAGGUGCUGCAUGGCUGUCGUCAGCUCGUGUUGUGAAAUGUUGGGUUAAGUCCCGCAACGAGCGCAACCCUUAUCCUUUGUUGCCAGCGGUUAGGCCGGGAACUCAAAGGAGACUGCCAGUGAUAAACUGGAGGAAGGUGGGGAUGACGUCAAGUCAUCAUGGCCCUUACGACCAGGGCUACACACGUGCUACAAUGGCGCAUACAAAGAGAAGCGACCUCGCGAGAGCAAGCGGACCUCAUAAAGUGCGUCGUAGUCCGGAUUGGAGUCUGCAACUCGACUCCAUGAAGUCGGAAUCGCUAGUAAUCGUGGAUCAGAAUGACACGGUGAAUACGUUCCCGGGCCUUGUACACACCGCCCGUCACACCAUGGGAGUGGGUUGCAAAAGAAGUAGGUAGCUUAACCUUCGGGAGGGCGCUUACCACUUUGUGAUUCAUGACUGGGGUGAAGUCGUAACAAGGUAACCGUAGGGGAACCUGCGGUUGGAUCACCUCCUUA